This 154-nucleotide unclassified non-coding RNA is filed under the name uncultured Cladosporium. Lineage: Eukaryota; Fungi; Ascomycota; Dothideomycetes; Cladosporiales; Cladosporiaceae. The record is from RNAcentral.
CAAGUGACCCCGGUUUACCACCGGGAUGUUCACAACCCUUUGUUGUCCGACUCUGUUGCCUCCGGGGCGACCCUGCCUUCGGGCGGGGGCUCCGGGUGGACACUUCAAACUCUUGCGUAACUUUGCAGUCCGAGUAAAUUUAAUUAAUAAAUUA